This 840-nucleotide ribosomal RNA is filed under the name uncultured bacterium. RNAcentral describes it as "bacterial SSU rRNA". It matches the Rfam family "Bacterial small subunit ribosomal RNA", at positions 61 to 883 of the family's 1533-position model. The record is from RNAcentral.
GUCGAGGGGCAGCGGGGUAGGAAGCUUGCUUUCUGCCGCCGGCGACCGGCGCACGGGUGAGUAACACGUAUGCAACCUGGCCGUGACAGAUGGAUAACCGGGAGAAAUCCCGCCUAAUACAACAUAAUGCCGGGAGGGGACAUCCCCUGCCGGCCAAAGGGGGCGACCCCGGUCACGGAUGGGCAUGCGGCGCAUUAGGUAGUUGGUGGGGCAACGGCCCACCAAGCCGACGAUGCGUAGGGGUUCUGAGAGGAAGGUCCCCCACAUUGGAACUGAGACACGGUCCAAACUCCUACGGGAGGCAGCAGUGAGGAAUAUUGGUCAAUGGCCGGAAGGCUGAACCAGCCAAGUCGCGUGAGGGAAUAAGGCCCUACGGGUCGUAAACCUCUUUUGCCAGGGAGCAAUGCCGUCCACGUGUGGACGGAAGGAGAGUACCUGGAGAAAAAGCAUCGGCUAACUCCGUGCCAGCAGCCGCGGUAAUACGGAGGAUGCGAGCGUUAUCCGGAUUUAUUGGGUUUAAAGGGUGCGUAGGCGGCCUGCCAAGUCAGCGGUAAAAUUGCGGGGCUCAACCCCGUACAGCCGUUGAAACUGCCGGGCUCGAGUGGGCGAGAAGUAUGCGGAAUGCGUGGUGUAGCGGUGAAAUGCAUAGAUAUCACGCAGAACCCCGAUUGCGAAGGCAGCAUACCGGCGCCCGACUGACGCUGAGGCACGAAAGUGCGGGGAUCAAACAGGAUUAGAUACCCUGGUAGUCCGCACAGUAAACGAUGAAUGCUAGCUGUCCGGGGGGAUUGACCCCUGGGUGGCACAGCGAAAGCGUUAAGCAUUCCACCUGGGGAGUAC